This is a long non-coding RNA of Trichomycterus rosablanca, 347 nucleotides long. RefSeq lists it as uncharacterized. NCBI's taxonomy places the organism in Eukaryota, Metazoa, Chordata, Actinopteri, Siluriformes, Trichomycteridae. The transcript has 3 exons. The record is from RefSeq and is a predicted model, not a curated record.
UGAAAACAUCUGUGGAGGAUUUACCUUCAGAACUUACAGCUGUUAUGAGAAAAGGUUCUGUUCUCCGUAAUCUCCUCAAAGUCCAGGGGGAAGGACAAAACACCAGAUAUCUUGGGUUCAUAUCUGCAAUGGAUUGAGAGUCAAUGUAAACGGCAACCCUAACCGCCUACCCCCCGCUACCACUCAAGUAAACACCCGCCAUCUCACCCUCCACCCUAUGCCUUACACUAACCAGCCAGCCCAGGGUGUUCCUUAUUUCCAGUUCUGAAAGUUGGCAACCCUAAGUUCUAAUCAUAUUUAUUAUUAUUUUAAUAUUGUAACAUUAAAUUUAUAUAAAAUAAUAAUAA